AGAUCGCCACCUACAGGCGCCUGCUGGAGGGCGAGGAGCAGAGGCUAUGUGAAGGCAUUGGGGCUGUGAAUGUCUGUGUCAGCAGCUCCCGGGGCGGGGUCGUGUGCGGGGACCUCUGCGUGUCAGGCUCCCGGCCAGUGACUGGCAGUGUCUGCAGCGCUCCGUGCAACGGGAACGUGGCGGUGAGCACCGGCCUGUGUGCGCCCUGCGGCCAAUUGAACACCACCUGCGGAGGGGGUUCCUGCGGCGUGGGCUCCUGUGGUAUCAGCUCCCUGGGUGUGGGGUCUUGCGGCAGCAGCUGCCGGAAAUGUUAGGCACCCCAACUCAAGUCCCAGGCCCCAGGCAUCUUUCCUGCCCUGCCUUGCUUGGCCCAUCCAGUCCAGGCGCCUGGAGCAAGUGCUCAGCUACUUCUCCUGCACUUUGAAAGACCCCUCCCACUCCUGGCCUCACAUUUCUCUGUGUGAUCCCCCACUUCUGGGCUCUGCCACCCCACAGUGGGAAAGGCCACCCUAGAAAGAAGUCCGCUGGCACCCAUAGGAAGGGGCCUCAGGAGCAGGAAGGGCCAGGACCAGAACCUUGCCCACGGCAACUGCCUUCCUGCCUCUCCCCUUCCUCCUCUGCUCUUGAUCUGUGUUUCAAUAAAUUAAUGUAGCCAA
RNAcentral lists this long non-coding RNA (656 nucleotides) under Homo sapiens (human). RNAcentral describes it as "non-protein coding lnc-KRT81-1:1". The record is from RNAcentral. Lineage: Eukaryota; Metazoa; Chordata; Mammalia; Primates; Hominidae.